RNAcentral lists this ribosomal RNA (768 nucleotides) under uncultured bacterium. RNAcentral describes it as "bacterial SSU rRNA". It matches the Rfam family "Bacterial small subunit ribosomal RNA", at positions 8 to 795 of the family's 1533-position model. The record is from RNAcentral.
AGAGUUUGAUCCUGGCUCAGGAUGAACGCUGGCGGCGUGCUUAAUACAUGUAAGUCGAACGGACUCUGUCUUUCGGGAUAGGGUUAGUGGCAGACGGGUGCGUAACACGUAGGUGAUCUGCCCUGAAGUGGGGAAUAAUCCCGCGAAAGCGGGACUAAUACCGCAUGUGCUCGGUGAUUCGGUUUGCCGAGUAAAGCCGAAAGGCGCUUCGGGAUGGGCCUGCGGCGGAUUAGGUAGUUGGUGGGGUAAUGGCCUACCAAGCCGAUGAUCCGUAGGGGGCGUGAGAGCGUGGCCCCCCACACUGGCACUGAGACACGGGCCAGACUCCUACGGGAGGCAGCAGUAAGGAAUAUUGCACAAUGGGCGAAAGCCUGAUGCAGCAACGCCGCGUGAGGGACGAAGGCCUUCGGGUCGUAAACCUCUUUUCUGUGGGAAGAGACUAGGACGGUACCUCAGGAAUAAGUCUCGGCUAACUACGUGCCAGCAGCCGCGGUAAAACGUAGGAGGCGAGCGUUAUCCGGAUUUACUGGGCGUAAAGCGCACGCAGGCGGCUUCGUUAGUCGGACGUGAAAGCUCCUGGCUUAACUGGGAGAGGCCGUUCGAUACUGCGAGGCUUGAGGUUGGGAGAGGGGUGUGGAAUUCCCGGUGUAGUGGUGGAAUGCGUAGAUAUCGGGAGGAACACCUGUGGCGAAAGCGGCACCCUGGCCCACACCUGACGCUGAGGUGCGAAAGCGUGGGUAGCAAACAGGAUUAGAUACCCUGGUAGUC